This is a long non-coding RNA of Ahaetulla prasina, 1290 nucleotides long. RefSeq lists it as uncharacterized. Lineage: Eukaryota; Metazoa; Chordata; Lepidosauria; Squamata; Colubridae. The record is from RefSeq and is a predicted model, not a curated record. The transcript has 2 exons.
UGGACAUGUUACGGACAUUUAUGCUUUCUCUUUCUGACAUUAUUAUUGGUCUUUUAUUUAUUGAUUAGAAUAAAUCUUCAAAUGGUUUAGUGCUGGGGCAAUAGGUGAAAAAGUUGAUAUACAUAGCUCACAGAGCAUGUUACAAUAAAUGAAACAUGAAUAGCAGGCAUGCAUAUUAAUGUCCCUGAAACCAUAAAACAGUUUAAAAAGUUCUAAAGGCAAAAACAGAAAUGACAGUCUCAGUUCUCUUAAUUUUAACAUUACUCUCCUAUCCUCUCCAACAGUCUGGACAGAUUUUUCUUUUUGCCUUAAAGAAAUCUUCCUUUUCAUGCUUUAUUUUUUAUACGAACGUGACAAUAUCUCUUACCUCCUGAAAUAACUUUAGCAUAUGCAGUGUCCUUCCUUUAGAAUUAAGACACAAUAUUAAUUGUUAGGGUAGAGGAAUAUGCUACCCUAACCUUUACUGCAUUCUGAAGCGUGCUGAAGAGAAGAUAUGAACAAUGAGUUGGGUUGUACUUGUUUAGAAUAGUAUUUACAACUUUGAUUAGCAGGAGUGCUGUAUUUUUGUUUUUCUCAUCAGUACUGGUUUAUGCACUAGGAAUGCCAGGUCCUUGCCCCAAGAUAAUGAGGGUGUUCACAUCUUACAAUAAACUAGAAUUAGUCUAAGCUCUAGCUGAUUAAACUCAAGCAAGCAUGAUAUUGCAUGUGUCUUUAUCACUUCAAUUUGGCUCCUCCUGCCAGUGGGAAGGGUUUCACAAAUUAGGAAACCUCCAUUUCCUAGGAAGAAAAAUUCAAGCUGGGGAUGAAUUAUGCCUGAAGGCUGUUCCAUUGUUUGUGUCUUUAAACAAGCUACUGAACAUAACUGCAGACCAGACCAUUCCGUGCUUUGCCAUCAUUCAUUUUAUCUGCUGUCUUCUGCAGAAUUCUCAAGUUGUCCCAUGACAGCUUAGAUGGGAUUGAAGGAAUAGUAGGCUUCAGCUUGUCUUAGUCCUUUGGAGCAUUUAGUGCAUUGGGAGCUCUCCUCCAAAGGAGGGCUCGGCAUCUUAAGAGACAUUCUGAAAGCUUGUUUGCAACUGUACUUGUGAGAGGUGUUUAUUUGGUCCAUGUAUCUUCUCUAUAUUGAAAGUCUAGUAUCAGUUACAAAUUUCAAUUGUGCUCCCUAAAGAAUUGUAUGGCCUGAUCCCCCUUGGAAUCAAGAUGACCCUCAAGUAUUUGUUAGAAAGGAGGAGAUCUGUGAAGAGUUGAUUAUUGUGAUGAUCUUCAAAGAAAAAAAUAAAGAGCUGGACAAGU